CGCUGAAGCCGACAGCUUGCUGUUGGUGGAUGAGUGGCGAACGGGUGAGUAACACGUGAGUAACCUGCCCCUGAUUUCGGGAUAAGCCUGGGAAACUGGGUCUAAUACCGGAUACGACCAUCUGACGCAUGUUGGGUGGUGGAAAGUUUUUCGAUCGGGGAUGGGCUCGCGGCCUAUCAGCUUGUUGGUGGGGUAAUGGCCUACCAAGGCGACGACGGGUAGCCGGCCUGAGAGGGCGACCGGCCACACUGGGACUGAGACACGGCCCAGACUCCUACGGGAGGCAGCAGUGGGGAAUAUUGCACAAUGGGGGAAACCCUGAUGCAGCGACGCAGCGUGCGGGAUGACGGCCUUCGGGUUGUAAACCGCUUUCAGCAGGGAAGAAGCGAGAGUGACGGUACCUGCAGAAGAAGUACCGGCUAACUACGUGCCAGCAGCCGCGGUAAUACGUAGGGUACGAGCGUUGUCCGGAAUUAUUGGGCGUAAAGAGCUCGUAGGUGGUUGGUCACGUCUGCUGUGGAAACGCAACGCUUAACGUUGCGCGUGCAGUGGGUACGGGCUGACUAGAGUGCAGUAGGGGAGUCUGGAAUUCCUGGUGUAGCGGUGAAAUGCGCAGAUAUCAGGAGGAACACCGGUGGCGAAGGCGGGACUCUGGGCUGUAACUGACACUGAGGAGCGAAAGCAUGGGGAGCGAACAGGAUUAGAUACC
This 709-nucleotide ribosomal RNA is filed under the name Brevibacterium epidermidis. RNAcentral describes it as "bacterial SSU rRNA". It matches the Rfam family "Bacterial small subunit ribosomal RNA", at positions 65 to 786 of the family's 1533-position model. Lineage: Bacteria; Bacillati; Actinomycetota; Actinomycetes; Micrococcales; Brevibacteriaceae. The record is from RNAcentral.